CUGGCGGCAUGCCUUACACAUGCAAGUCGAACGGCAGCAUGGAAGAGCUUGCUCUUCUGAUGGCGAGUGGCGAACGGGUGAGUAAAGCAUCGGAACGUACCGUGUAGUGGGGGAUAACGUAGCGAAAGUUACGCUAAUACCGCAUACGCACUGAGGUGGAAAGCAGGGGAUCGCAAGACCUUGCGCUAUACGAGCGGCCGAUGUCAGAUUAGCUAGUUGGUAGGGUAAAGGCCUACCAAGGCGACGAUCUGUAGCGGGUCUGAGAGGAUGAUCCGCCACACUGGGACUGAGACACGGCCCAGACUCCUACGGGAGGCAGCAGUGGGGAAUUUUGGACAAUGGGGGCAACCCUGAUCCAGCCAUGCCGCGUGAGUGAAGAAGGCCUUCGGGUUGUAAAGCUCUUUCGGCUGGGAAGAAAUCGCACAGGCUAAUACUCUGUGUGGAUGACGGUACCAGCACAAGAAGCACCGGCUAACUACGUG
RNAcentral lists this ribosomal RNA (482 nucleotides) under uncultured bacterium. RNAcentral describes it as "bacterial SSU rRNA". It matches the Rfam family "Bacterial small subunit ribosomal RNA", at positions 36 to 507 of the family's 1533-position model. The record is from RNAcentral.